AUACGGAGGGUGCAAGCGUUACUCGGAAUCACAGGGCGUAAAGCGCGCGCAGGCGGGCUGAUAAGUUGGAUGUGAAAGCCUACGGCUCAACCGUAGAACUGCAUCCAAAACUGUCAGUCUAGAGUCUGGGAGGGGAAGAUGGAAUUAGUUGUGUAGGGGUAAAAUCCGUAGAGAUAACUAGGAAUACCAAAAGCGAAGGCGAUCUUCUGGAACAGUACUGACGCUGAGGCGCGAAAGCGUGGGGAGCAAACAGGAUUAGAAACCCCAGUAGUCC
Molecule: ribosomal RNA, 274 nt
Filed under: uncultured bacterium
Lineage: Bacteria
Description: partial 16S ribosomal RNA
Rfam family: Bacterial small subunit ribosomal RNA
Source: RNAcentral